Molecule: unclassified non-coding RNA, 337 nt
Filed under: soil metagenome
Description: partial contains 5.8S ribosomal RNA, internal transcribed spacer 2, and large subunit ribosomal RNA
Rfam family: 5.8S ribosomal RNA (bases 1-120)
Source: RNAcentral
GAUGAAGAACGUAGCGAAAUGCGAUAAGUAGUGUGAAUUGCAGAAUUCAGUGAAUCAUCGAAUCUUUGAACGCACAUUGCGCCCCUUGGUAUUCCAUGGGGCAUGCCUGUUCGAGCGUCAUUUGUACCUUCAAGCUCUGCUUGGUGUUGGGUGUUUGUCUCGCCCCUGCGUGUAGACUCGCCUCAAAAUAAUUGGCAGCCGGCGUAUUGAUUUCGGAGCGCAGUACAUCUCGCGCUUUGCACUCAUAACGACGACGUCCAAAAGUACAUUUUUACACUCUUGACCUCGGAUCAGGUAGGGAUACCCGCUGAACUUAAGCAUAUCAAUAAGCGGAGGA